This 550-nucleotide ribosomal RNA is filed under the name uncultured bacterium. RNAcentral describes it as "bacterial SSU rRNA". It matches the Rfam family "Bacterial small subunit ribosomal RNA", at positions 94 to 640 of the family's 1533-position model. The record is from RNAcentral.
AGCGGCGGACGGGUGAGUAAUACCUGGGGAUCUGCCCAAUCGAGGGGGAUAACAGUUGGAAACGACUGCUAAUACCGCAUACGCCCUACGGGGGAAAGGAGGGGACCUUCGGGCCUUCCGCGAUUGGAUGAACCCAGGCGGGAUUAGCUAGUAGGUGAGGUAAUGGCUCACCUAGGCAACGAUCCCUAGCUGUUCUGAGAGGAUGGACAGCCACACUGGAACUGAGACACGGUCCAGACUCCUACGGGAGGCAGCAGUGGGGAAUAUUGGACAAUGGGGGAAACCCUGAUCCAGCCAUGCCGCGUGUGUGAAGAAGGCCUUCGGGUUGUGAAGCACUUUCAGUGGGGAGGAAAGGUUGUUGGUUAAUACCUAACAGCUGUGACGUUACCCACAGAAGAAGCACCGGCUAACUCCGUGCCAGCAGCCGCGGUAAUACGGAGGGUGCAAGCGUUAAUCGGAAUUACUGGGCGUAAAGCGUGCGCAGGCGGUCUGUUAAGCGAGAUGUGAAAGCCCCGGGCUCAACCUGGGAACUGCAUUUCGAACUGGCAGA